AUACGGAGGGUGCAAGCGUUACUCGGAAUCACUGGGCGUAAAGCGCGCGCAGGCGGCUUGAUAAGUUGGAUGUGAAAGCCUACGGCUCAACCGUAGAACUGCAUCCAAAACUGUCAAGCUAGAGUGUGUGAGAGGAAGAUGGAAUUAGUUGUGUAGGGGUAAAAUCCGUAGAGAUAACUAGGAAUACCAAAAGCGAAGGCAAUCUUCUGGAACACUACUGACGCUGAGGCGCGAAAGCGUGGGGAGCAAACGGGAUUAGAAACCCUAGUAGUCC
This 274-nucleotide ribosomal RNA is filed under the name uncultured bacterium. RNAcentral describes it as "partial 16S ribosomal RNA". It matches the Rfam family "Bacterial small subunit ribosomal RNA", at positions 523 to 796 of the family's 1533-position model. The record is from RNAcentral.